ACAGCCAUGUCACAUUGAAACACCAGUUCUCGUAAGAUCACCGAAGUUAAGCAACAUCGAUUUUGAUCAGUACCUAGCUGGGUGACCGAUUGGGCAUACCAUGUACUGUAA
This is a non-coding RNA of Acanthosepion pharaonis, 111 nucleotides long. The record is from the annotation of a GenBank genome assembly. NCBI's taxonomy places the organism in Eukaryota, Metazoa, Mollusca, Cephalopoda, Sepiida, Sepiidae.